RNAcentral lists this transfer RNA (69 nucleotides) under Camptoloma rotundifolium. RNAcentral's name for it is "partial transfer RNA-Leu (UAA)". It matches the Rfam family "tRNA", at positions 16 to 71 of the family's 71-position model. From Rfam's summary of the family: Transfer RNA (tRNA) molecules are approximately 80 nucleotides in length. The record is from RNAcentral. Lineage: Eukaryota; Viridiplantae; Streptophyta; Magnoliopsida; Lamiales; Plantaginaceae.
CGGUAGACGCUACGGACUUAAAAUCCGUCGACUUUAAAAAUCGUGAGGGUUCAAGUCCCUCUAUCCCCA